AGCGAACGCUGGCGGCAGGCCUAACACAUGCAAGUCGAACGAACCUUUCGGGGUUAGUGGCGGACGGGUGAGUAACACGUGGGAACGUGCCUUUAGGUUCGGAAUAACUCAGGGAAACUUGUGCUAAUACCGAAUGUGCCCUUCGGGGGAAAGAUUUAUCGCCUUUAGAGCGGCCCGCGUCUGAUUAGCUAGUUGGUUGAGGUAAUGGCUCACCAAGGCGACGAUCAGUAGCUGGUCUGAGAGGAUGAUCAGCCACAUUGGGACUGAGACACGGCCCAAACUCCUACCGGAGGCAGCAGUGGGGAAUCUUGCGCAAUGGGCGAAAGCCUGACGCAGCCAUGCCGCGUGAAUGAUGAAGGUCUUAGGAUUGUAAAAUUCUUUCACCGGGGACGAUAAUGACGGUACCCGGAGAAGAAGCCCCGGCUAACUUCGUG
Molecule: ribosomal RNA, 434 nt
Filed under: uncultured bacterium
Lineage: Bacteria
Description: partial 16S ribosomal RNA
Rfam family: Bacterial small subunit ribosomal RNA
Source: RNAcentral